Molecule: transfer RNA, 68 nt
Filed under: Bradyrhizobium sp. ISRA426
Lineage: Bacteria; Pseudomonadati; Pseudomonadota; Alphaproteobacteria; Hyphomicrobiales; Nitrobacteraceae
Also listed under: 3 other names
Description: tRNA-Arg
Rfam family: tRNA
About the family: Transfer RNA (tRNA) molecules are approximately 80 nucleotides in length. Their secondary structure includes four short double-helical elements and three loops (D, anti-codon, and T loops). Further hydrogen bonds mediate the characteristic L-shaped molecular structure. tRNAs have two regions of fundamental functional importance: the anti-codon, which is responsible for specific mRNA codon recognition, and the 3' end, to which the tRNAs corresponding amino acid is attached (by aminoacyl-tRNA synthetases). tRNAs cope with the degeneracy of the genetic code in two manners: having more than one tRNA (with a specific anti-codon) for a particular amino acid; and 'wobble' base-pairing, i.e. permitting non-standard base-pairing at the 3rd anti-codon position.
Source: RNAcentral
CGUAGCUCAGCUGGAUAGAGCGUUGUCCUCCGAAGGCAAAGGUCACACGUUCGAAUCGUGUCGCCGAU